UGAUAAACGCAAGGGUGAGCGUGU
Molecule: non-coding RNA, 24 nt
Filed under: Arabidopsis thaliana (thale cress)
Lineage: Eukaryota; Viridiplantae; Streptophyta; Magnoliopsida; Brassicales; Brassicaceae
Source: RNAcentral